Molecule: ribosomal RNA, 460 nt
Filed under: uncultured bacterium
Lineage: Bacteria
Description: partial 16S ribosomal RNA
Rfam family: Bacterial small subunit ribosomal RNA
Source: RNAcentral
CCUACGGGCGGCUGCAGUGAGGAAUAUUGGUCAAUGGGCGCGAGCCUGAACCAGCCAAGUAGCGUGAAGGAUGACUGCCCUACGGGUUGUAAACUUCUUUUAUAAAGGAAUAAAGUGCGGCACGUGUGCCUUUUUGUAUGUACUUUAUGAAUAAGGAUCGGCUAACUCCGUGCCAGCGGCCGCGGUAAUACGGAGGAUCCGAGCGUUAUCCGGAUUUAUUGGGUUUAAAGGGAGCGUAGACGGGUUGUCAAGUCAGUUGUGAAAUUUUGGGGCUCAACCCCCGAACUGCAGUUGAAACUGUGGUUCUUGAGUAGCGGAGAGGCAGGCGGAAUUCCUAGUGUAGCGGUGAAAUGCGUAGAUAUUAGGAGGAACACCGGUGGCGAAGGCAGCCUGCUGGACGACAACUGACGGUGAGGCGCGAAAGCGUGGGUAGCGAACAGGAUUAGAUACCCCAGUAGUC